GAUGAAGAACGUAGCGAAAUGCGAUAAGUAGUGUGAAUUGCAGAAUUCAGUGAAUCAUCGAAUCUUUGAACGCACAUUGCGCCCCUUGGUAUUCCAUGGGGCAUGCCUGUUCGAGCGUCAUUUGUACCUUCAAGCUCUGCUUGGUGUUGGGUGUUUGUCCCGCCUCUGCGUGUAGACUCGCCUUAAAACAAUUGGCAGCCGGCGUAUUGAUUUCGGAGCGCAGUACAUCUCGCGCUUUGCACUCAUAACGACGACGUCCAAAAGUACAUUUUUACACUCUUGACCUCGGAUCAGGUAGGGAUACCCGCUGAACUUAAGCAUAUCAAUAAGCGGAGGA
Molecule: unclassified non-coding RNA, 337 nt
Filed under: soil metagenome
Description: partial contains 5.8S ribosomal RNA, internal transcribed spacer 2, and large subunit ribosomal RNA
Rfam family: 5.8S ribosomal RNA (bases 1-120)
Source: RNAcentral